RNAcentral lists this long non-coding RNA (372 nucleotides) under Carica papaya (papaya). Its description in RNAcentral is "long non-coding RNA (CPAP_LNC003069)". Lineage: Eukaryota; Viridiplantae; Streptophyta; Magnoliopsida; Brassicales; Caricaceae. The record is from RNAcentral.
GCCCGAGAAGACAGCCCAGUCGCCGAGGAGCCGACAGUUGCCACCCGCCGCCGUACCGGAGCAAUUUUCGACCGCCAAAUAAGGUAAAAAUUCUACCCUUUACUCAAAUUUUGAUUCUAAACCCACCUAUGGCCAAAUCGGAGCGAAAGCACCGGCCAAUUGGCCGAAAAAUGCUGCCGAAGCUCAGCAGCGACGCCGCGGGAUGUCUCAGUUUUUGUCUCCGAUGAGGCCCUUCCCGAUUCCCGUUCGAUGUGAUUUUUUCACCGUUGUGAUCACCGUUUCCUCCUCUAUAGGUUGACCGGAGCAAAACACCCAACCGCGACGUGAGCCAGAGGAGCUGCCGCACCGGAGAGCCCCUCCGCCGGUAAGUUU